GCGGCAGAUAAGGGAAUUGUAGCAGCGGAGAAAGGAAUUGAAGCGGCGGAGAAAGGAUUGGUGACGGCUGAGAAGGGGAUAGAAGCUGCGGAGGAGAAGAUUGAGAGCUCAGUGAGUUUUGGAGGGUUAGCUCAAGCUGGAGCAGUGGCUGGAGCUGAAUUAGUUGGAGUUUUGGUCGCCUCAACUGUUGUUAAUGGUAUUUUAGGACCUGAAGCUCAAAAAUCUUGAAAAGAUUAUUGAUUUUCAUGUAAUAUUUCAUUUUUGUUACUGUUAUUUGCAAACUUGAUUGUGCUUUGCUUAAUUCAAAGGGUGGCAUUUCUGAUACAUAUAUUCCGAUUGUAUGAUGUCACUUAUAGUUUUAUUAUAUAUGUAGAUUUAUGUAACAUAUCCGGUGUACUAGAGUCUUGAACAUGAAUGGAUAAUGCAAUUAAUGCAAGAGUGUUCUUAUUGAAUUUAAAGAGGCAAUCGAGAAAGUCAUCGAUUUUUUUUUAGAAAGUUC
RNAcentral lists this long non-coding RNA (499 nucleotides) under Nicotiana tabacum (common tobacco). Its description in RNAcentral is "long non-coding RNA (NTAB_LNC000927)". The record is from RNAcentral. Lineage: Eukaryota; Viridiplantae; Streptophyta; Magnoliopsida; Solanales; Solanaceae.